Molecule: non-coding RNA, 391 nt
Organism: Pelobates cultripes (western spadefoot toad)
Lineage: Eukaryota; Metazoa; Chordata; Amphibia; Anura; Pelobatidae
Source: the annotation of a GenBank genome assembly
CUUCUUCUGGAGCAGGCACUUUCUUGCAAUGUGAAGCGUGUAUCCAAGAACUCUUUCCGGCUAGCUUAACUGACGUAGCUGUGAUCAGGAGCACUUGGUAAGGACCAUCAAAUCUCGGCUCAAGGGUGUGUUUCCUGAGAAAUUUCUUGACCAUAACCCAAUCACCAGGGAGCAGCUUGUGUGUACCUGUAUUCGACUCAGGAUCUGGAAUAGAAGAAAACACUUGGGCAUGGAUUUUGGUCAAGGCAUGUGAGAGGGCAGUCACAUAAUCUACCAUAGUGUCUGACUGGAUCUGAAAUUGUUGAGGGAAGUAACAACCUAGUCUGGGUGCUGUACCAAACAAAAUCACAUAAGGUGAUAGGCUAUAUUUUCCCCUAGGGGUGUACCUCAC